UUUGUCGAAAAUAGGUUAAGAAAGAAAAGAUAAAGGCUCAAGUUAGUUCAAAAAGAGGUGAUGGAAUGUAUUGAGGUUGAUAUGUGAAUGAAAAACCAAGUACUCAAGUUGAACCAACAAAAUAUAAGUGUGUUAACCCGGGACUAAUACGAACACUUAGGUAGGAUAAAUGUUGUAUGGAUGGAAAAAUGAAUAAAAUGGAACCUCGACCCGCUAUCAAAGAUGAUAGGAACCUCGGUAUAAUUUGAACGCCACACUUUGGGUACAAAGUGAUAAGUUCGGAAACAAAGACGGGUUGACGCCACAAGGGUUACUUGAUAAGUUAGACGAGUCUUUGGAGAAAAAUGAGAGUUGAAAACAAACUCACAAAGUAAUAAGAUAUCAUAUAAGAUUCAAAAGUAUAUUGUCUACCCCUAAAAUGAUUACAAAACAACUAUUUAUACUAAUAUUGAAUGUCAAGCCGAAUGGUCACAAAAGGUAGAUAAAUGGACAGCUUCUAGAUGGGAUUAACUCAGCUGGAAAGAUUCAUGGAACGUCUUCAAUGCUUGGCUGACCAUUGAGCUACACGAACAGCUUUGAAUGGUGUCUUUGAUGCGCACGAGGAGCCUUGAGCUGAAAAAGGCAUACCAGGUUCAGCCAAGGUCUUUUAUGAGCCUUGAAAGAGCUGCUUUGGUCAGCUAAUUAGUCUUGAAAUUUAAUGAUUAACUUGGACUCAUCAAUAGUCAUAGAAUGUGAACACAAAGAGCUGAUCGGCCAAAGGAGUGUGAACACACGAAUCUGAAAGGCCUUUGUUGGUGAAUGGAAUAUUUCAACAGUUGGGCUUUAAAAACGCAUUGGUGAGCUGAAUAAUUAGCUUGGAAAGGGUGCAACAGCAGCCACCUCUUAAAUGUCGUUCCUUGCAUGUAGAACAGCACCCUUAAUGCAUGUCUUUGUUGUACAUUAAAUUCGGCCACCAUGCAUCCUUUAUUGUUGCUGUUUUUUUCACGAAAAAACCCUGCAUAAAUUCUUGUCGUUCUUCUUUAAUUACUGUCCCACGUCCAUGAACCUGCACCCAUUAAAAUUCAGCCUUUAAUUCACAUUUUCAGACAAAUUAAAAAUGGUCAAUAGACAUAUUAAAUUUGGCAUCAUCCACUUCCUUUAAUGCCAUCCAAGCCAUUAAACCUGCAGACAAAUAAUUAAAUUCGGUCAUCAGCAUCUUAAGACAAAUUAAAUUGGCAGCAACUUGAUCAAUAACUAUGCUCAUAAAUUUGGCUGACUUUAGGCUUUUUAAAUGGACAAAUUUGGCUGGACAAGUCAAAAAAUUCGGCAGCCAGAAGACCCAUUAAAGUGGCUCUUUAAUUUCGGCUGAAAAAAACACCAUUUAAGAUAUCAUUAAAUUCGGUUGUAGCAAGACAAAUUAAAUAAUGUAAUGACAAUUAAAUUCAGCUGGACACCUUAAAAACAUACAUUAAUCUCAUGCUUGAACCAAGACAAAUUAAUUAGCCAUAUUAAUUCAGCUGGACAUGAACAAAUUAAAUGCAUGCCUUAACCUAGGACAAAUUAAUGUGUACUAAUUGAAGACAUAAUUAAAUCAUUAAAUAAAGCAAAUUUAAUAUAAAAAAAUUAUUAGACCCAAAUUAAAUCAUGUGCAUGAUGAAACUAACAAAUUAACUAAUGAACUUAAUUUAUUCCAGCAACUAUGUAAAAGCAUAAAUUAAAAUAAAUUGAAGUUCAAGCUUAAUGAGCCGAAUUGAGCUCGAAUGUGCUGACUUGAGCUCGGAUGAGCUAACUUGAGCUCGAAUGAACUAACUUGAGCUCGAAUGAACAAAAAAAUGAGCUUCAUCUUGCACUUGGGCCUCUCGCGUUUAGGCCAAACUCGACGGCGUUGGGUUGUGACAUUACAUGAUGCGAUCAGGAUCACAUCAUACCCUCCCUCUUGAAGACGAUUUGUCCUCAAAUCGGGCCACUUGCUCGAAUUUUUUUUUCAAAAUCUCGAACCCUUUUAUUCAUGACCCGAAUAGAAUCAUUUCCAAAACUUUGAAAAUCACAAAUGGUUCGAAAAGAAAUUGACUUAUUUCCACGCCCUCCCUCUUUUGGAGGGAACCAUUUCAAAGUGUCACCUACACAAGAAAGACAUAGGUUAGUGACACUAGAAAUUAUAAACUCAAAAGAAUUUUUGAAGAUCUUAUUCAACAAGUGAACAUAUGAGUCAAUGCCGGGAUCAAAAAUAGAAGUUGGUCUCACCUUAUCAUAAUGAAUUAAAAAAUGCAUUGAUUGCAACAAACCUGAGUCACAAGGCACUCGAUAGCUAUAAUUUUGGAAGCCAACUUCCCACGGUUCGAAUCCCUUUGACAACAAUUCAAAAUGAUAUGCACCGGGGUCAAAAACAAAGUUUCCUCUUGCCAUUCCAAUUUGAUAUGACAAUUUCAAAAUCGGUAUCAUAAAAAGGAAAUGAUGUAAUUUUAAGUAAUGAUUAUGCAAGACAUAUUCGAACCUUUUAAACCAAAGUAUGGAGCAAUUACCAGAAUCAUAAAUCAAAUUUUGGCUUUGCAAGCUAACAAUAUUCACAUGCUUUGUUCUAGAACAGCCAGAUAUAUCAAAUUUCACUUGAUCUAACUUACACAAACAUGUAGAAUUUACAAAACAAAGCAGUAACGUCUCACCACCAUCACAAGCAAAUGAACUAGGUAUUUUACUCAUCAACGUUUUAUCACACAAACGAAUCAGCAAAUUCAAAUUGUCAUCACAUACAAGAAGAUUUGACGUGUGAUAUACCAACCUUUUAUCACAAAAAAGACAAAUUUUGUUCGGGCUCACCUGGACUUACUUCUUGAUCAAUCUUGACAAUGUUAGGCUCAUGAGCAGAAAGAUAUUUCGCAUUACUAUGUAAAAUACAUUCAUCAACAAUAAAAUUAUGAUUUCCAAUAAAAUCAAGAUGAAAAAUUCUCUCACAAACUAAGUCUUUGGUAAUCUUGUCAUCAAGAAUCAAGUAAGAUUGAGAAGACUCAAAUACAGUAGAACCCUUACAUGGCUUACCUUUAAGCACUUGUGGACUAGGGUCAUCUACGAUCUUACCUUUCUCGACUAAUCGAAAUCGUCUCUCCUCAGAAAAGUAUUGAAGUUGAAAUUGAUCAAUGGGAUUUUGAGAAACCUGAAAAGUAGAAACAAUACAAGGAAAACUCAUAGGAUGGUUAGUAAAAACACUCCUUGCUUGUUCACUUUCAUCCUUUUCGCUUAUUUCUUUUUCCAACUCAUUUUCAAAUCCUCUUUAUUUUACCAUAUCACUCAUUUCUUUUGCACUCUCGUUUCUUUCUUCAAUCUCACUCUCUUUUUCAGUUUUCUUUUCUUUUUCACACUCGUUUUUAUUCUCAAUCUCAUUUUCAAUUUUCUUUUCUAUCUUACACUCAUCUUCUUUUUCUUUUUCAUUUUCUCACUCGCACUCUUUUUCUUUUUCUUUUUCACAUGCUAUUUUGAUUUCUUUACAAAGGUAGAAAUCAUCAAAAUAAGAAGUCUUUUGUUGAGAAUAAGAAAACGGUUCUUCAUACAAAUGACAAUCAUCUCUUUGUGAUAGAUCUCCCGUAGCUGAGUACUUUGACACUCUUGAAACACGUUCACCUCUUCGUAAGCCAACCUUCACAGAUGAAUAAAUUGAUGUACUUGUAGAGACAUGUCUACCUUUUUGUUUAUCAUCUCAGAAGGACUCAAAUUUAGAGUUUGCUUCUCUUGGUCUCGAACGCUUUGUUGAAUAGGAGUCUUGAUAAGAGUCUCUUGUCAAGUAGUGUCGUCGUGAUGAUCUUAACUCCGUUUCUCGACCUGGUGAAUUUGACUUCCAUCGCGCUCUUUCCUCCACUCGAUCCAAUCGAUCAUGCAAUUUAUCGAAUUUUGAUUUCACCAUUCUACGCAUCUCUUGCAUCAAAUAUUGGAAUUCUGAUUCAGAAAAUUCUUCUUGAGACAUUUUUUUUUGCUAAAAAGAAAAAAAGUGUUUAAAAUAGAAAGUAAAUACCUCACCACAAAACCUCGCAAGUCACUCGAAAAGAAAAUUUUCACUCCACUUGUGUUUACGCUCGCUUUUGGCUUUUCUUCUCUCGAAUUAACUCACACUCUCUUGCCUUUUACCACUCGAUUUUCGUCUCUCGAAGUUCUCCGCAAACUAGAUCGACGAAUCAACACCGUUUGGCGUCGGCUUACAAAAUAGAUUUGGCUUGGUGGGUAAUGAUGUCGGAAAUGGUAUGCUAUCAAACAAAAUAAAAUGGUUAAGUGUGGCUAUAUAGAUAUUGUCCUUCGGGCAGCAAACAAAGCUUUUACAAUCCAACUAUAAACUUCUCUUUUUUUUUUAAUUCUGAUUUUUUUUUUCAAUACUAAAUACAAAAAGUAAAAAUAAAUUUAAUACAAACUCUUUUUUUUGAAUUUUUUUUUCAAAUUUUUUUUCAAUUUUUUUUCAAUUUUUUUAAAAUAGCGUAAUGCUGAUAACGUCGAUUCUUACUCCGAUUCAGCUAGCUCUAAUACCAAAAUGAUACGCCCCGGGCUUGUUGAUGAAUCCGAGUCGUUGAUGUGCCCGAUCGUGAAUUGGAGUAAUAUUAAGGUUUGUCGAAAAUAGGUUAAGAAAGAAAAGAUAAAGGCUCAAGUUAGUUCAAAAAGAGGUGAUGGAAUGUAUUGAGGUUGAUAUGUGAAUGAAAAACUAAGUACUCAAGUUGAACCAACACAAUAUAAGUGUGUUAACCCGAGACUAAUACGAACACUUAGGUAGGAUAAAUGUUGUAUGGAUGGAAAAAUGAAUAAAAUGGAACCUCGACCCGCUAUCAAAGAUGAUAAGAACCUCGGUAUAAUUUGAACGCCACACUUUGGGUACAAAGUGAUAAGUUCAGAAAGAAAGACGGGUUGACGCCACAAGGGUUACUUGAUAAGUUAGAUGAGUCUUUGGAGAACAAUGAGAGUUGAAAACAAACUCACAAAGUAAUCAGAUAUCAUAUAAGAUUCAAAAGUAUAUUGUCUACCCCAAAAUGAUUACAAAACAACUAUUUAUACUAAUAUUAAAUGUCAAGCCAAAUGGUCACAAAAGGUAGAUAAAUGGACAGCUUCUAGAUGGGAUUAACUCAGCUGGAAAGAUUCAUGGAACGUCUUCAAUGCUUGGCUAACCAUUGAGCUACACGAACAGCUUUGAAUGGUAUCUUUGAUGCGCACGAGGAGCCUUGAGCUGAAAAAGGCAUACCAGGUUCGGCCAAGGUCUUUUAUGAGCCUUGAAAGAGCUGCUUUGGUCAGCUAAUUAGUCUUGAAAUUUAAUGAUUAACUUGGACUCAUCAAUAGUCAUAGAAUGUGAACACAAAGAGCUGAUCGGCCAAAGGAGUGUGAACACAGGAAUCUGAAAGGCCUUUGUUGGUGAAUGGAAUAUUUCAAUAGUUGGGCUUUAAAAAUGCAUUGGUGAGCUGAAUAAUUAGCUUGGAAAGGGUGCAACAGCAGCCACCUCUUAAAUGUCGUCCCUUGCAUGUAGAACAGCACCCUUAAUGCAUGUCUUUGUUGUACAUUAAAUUCGGCCACCAUGCAUCCUUUAUUGCUGCUGUUUUUUUCACGAAAAAACCCUGCAUAAAUUCUUGUCGUUCUUCUUUAAUUGCUGUCCCACGUCCAUGAACCUGCACCCAUUAAAAUUCAGCCUAUAAUUCACAUUUUCAAACAAAUUAAAAAUGGUCAAUAGACAUAUUAAAUUCGGCAUCAUCCACUUCCUUUAAUGCCGUUCAAGCCAUUAAACCUGCAGACAAAUAAUUAAAUUCGGUCAUCAGCAU
This 5756-nucleotide long non-coding RNA is filed under the name Gossypium raimondii (Peruvian cotton). RNAcentral's name for it is "long non-coding RNA (GRAI_LNC003748)". Lineage: Eukaryota; Viridiplantae; Streptophyta; Magnoliopsida; Malvales; Malvaceae. The record is from RNAcentral.